RNAcentral lists this long non-coding RNA (543 nucleotides) under Mytilus galloprovincialis (Mediterranean mussel). Lineage: Eukaryota; Metazoa; Mollusca; Bivalvia; Mytilida; Mytilidae. The record is from RNAcentral.
CUUUUUAAGGUCUUUCCUCUCCGCGAGGAAAGACCUUAUUGUUUUUCGCAUGUUUUUUUUUUUUUUUUUCAUCCAGCAUUUGUUUGACAUGGCCUCCCCUCGUUUCUAUUGGAGUUAUCAAACCCAAAUAUGGACCAUCGUUAGACCUCAUUAUGAAGUAUUACCAGAUGAGGCUGUGUAGGAUUUCAUCAUCCCCUUUAGAAGUUAUCUCCCUUUUAUUGAUUUUUUUCAACAUGGCCCCCUCGUUGUUUUUGAAGAUAUCAUGAUCUUAUUUGGACAAUAGGUAAAUCUCAUCAUGAUGUAUUACCAUAUGAGGCUGCAUAUAAUUUCAUCAUCCCCUUUGAGAGUUAUUUCCCCUUGAAACAAUUUCUUUCCUUUGCUCAUUUCUCAAAAAAUGUUAGAGAUAGAAUCGAUUUGAAAACGGCAACAUGUACAGGAACAGAUGGCAAUGUUAAUGAACAUAUACAAUCAUUUUGUUAUUUACCCUUAUAAGGAGUUAUUCCCCUUGAAAAAUUGUAUACAAUUUUAGAAAAAAUCUAUUUC